Molecule: non-coding RNA, 31 nt
Filed under: Rattus norvegicus (Norway rat)
Lineage: Eukaryota; Metazoa; Chordata; Mammalia; Rodentia; Muridae
Source: RNAcentral
UUGAAUAUUUGCUCUCAGAGACUCUAUGAUU